UCAAAAACGGAGAUGACAAUAAUGGCGGGUAGUCGAAUCAGAGUCUCCUCUUUCCAUUCCCACUGAUUAUCUCUCUCUGGUCUCUCGCCCACACUUACGCAGCAGUGCUUUUUUGUACCAAUGGAGGGCGCAGGGGAGAGUUCUACGCUGACGCGGAUGGCUCAAAUGCGGUUAGCAUGUGAACGUGAAAUGCCAAUUCAGAAGCACGGACUCGACUCGCUGGAUGAUUCCUAUCAAAAUAAUUUCGAUUCCGCCAAAUCGCAAGCUCGGAGAACCGUUCUGCUUCAAGGCAAACUUGAACAGGUUAAAGGCGAGUUGAAGGAAGCGGAGGAUGCUCUGGUGAAGUCUCUUGCUGUGAAGAGUCGGAAAGAGGCAAUGCAGAUGGCACUAAUGGAGUCUAUAUCCAUUACAAAAGCUAAAGUCGAUAAACUGAAAAAGAAUGUGCAGGAUCAGAAGGAAAGGAAAGAUGGAUAUGCUGCUAUACUAUCUCAACAUUCUGAAGCUUUGACAACUUCUGAGAAACAAUGUAGUCAGAACAAGCAGCAUCAAGAACAAAUCGAGGAAGCCAUUUCAUGGUAUAACAAGGUUCUUGGCUUCCGUGUUGAAUCUGGUCGUGGUGUAAAAUUCAUAUUCACCAACAUUAAUUGUGAGAAGCUAGAUGAGGAGUACUCCUUUACCCUACGACAUGAAAAUGAGAUCUACACAUUGAUUAAAUGCGAUCCGCAUCUGAAUGACACAAAGGAGCUGAUUAAGGAUUUAAACAAAACCAAUGGAUUAUUCAAAUUUGUGAGAACAAUGAGAGAGAAAUUUCUUGAAGCUGCAGCACAUGGCACUUCCCUGUGCGAACUGUCUAUAAACCAAGACUUUUCAACAAUUUCCUCGUCAGGCCUGGUUGCUUCAUACUCAACUGAGCAGACAUAUGAAUCUCCAAUCGUAAACAAAGGGGUUCAAAUCAGUAAAUCUAGCAGCAAUAUAAAGAAAGAUAGAAAGGGAAACAAAAUUCUCUCUUCCCGAUCUCCUUAUUCUCUUCGGGAAUCUGCACGUUCAAAGGUCAGGAAAUGAUCUCCAUUGUCGACGUAUAUCAGAUGUUUUUAUACGAGCAUCGAGGUAGUAUGCUCUUCGACGAGGCACAUCCAGUUCGCAUCCAGCAAGGUUCUCCAAAUGGACAUCUGCAGUUUGAACUUGGAGGAUCCCGUUGGACUAUGCUUAGUAGACGACCAAUGAGACGGCUGCAAACAGGUACCCUGUGUGUAUGAACUGUUUUUGAGCAAUGUCGACAAUUCUCCACGAGGUACGUAUAGUAAAAAUGUAUGGCAGUUUUCGAGGAGUUAUUCUAUGUCCCGAUUUUGUGAAAAUAAAAAUAAAAAUACUAGUUUAUUUUAAAUGAUCUAUUAUAUACUACCUUUCU
Molecule: RNA transcript, 1408 nt
Organism: Andrographis paniculata
Lineage: Eukaryota; Viridiplantae; Streptophyta; Magnoliopsida; Lamiales; Acanthaceae
Gene name: kinetochore protein SPC25 homolog
Exons: 10
Source: RefSeq, a predicted model, not a curated record